Non-coding RNA from Pelobates cultripes (western spadefoot toad), 262 nucleotides. The record is from the annotation of a GenBank genome assembly. Lineage: Eukaryota; Metazoa; Chordata; Amphibia; Anura; Pelobatidae.
GGUGACUAGUGACAAAGUGAGGGGAUGACUAGUGACAGAGUUAGGGAGGGAGUGACUAGUGACAGAGGGAGGGAUGGGGUGACAGUCACCACCUCCCUCACUCUGUCACUAGUCACCAUCUCCCUCCCUCUGUCACUAGUCACCAUCUCCCUCAUUCUGUCACUAGUCACACCCUCCCUCACUAGUCACCUCUCCCUCACUCUGUCACUAGUCACACCCUCCCUCACUAGUCACCCCUCCCUCACUCUGUCACUAGUCACCC